UACGAAGGGUGCAAGCGUUACUCGGAAUUACUGGGCGUAAAGCGUGCGUAGGUGGUUUGUUAAGUCUGAUGUGAAAGCCCUGGGCUCAACCUGGGAACUGCAUUCGAAACUGCCUGGCUAGAGUUUGAGAGAGGGAAGUGGAAUUCCACAUGUAGCGGUGUAAUGCGUAGAUAUGUGGAGGAACAUCAGUGGCGAAGGCGGCUUCCUGGCUUAAAACUGACACUGUGGCGCGAAAGCGUGGGUAGCAAACAGG
Molecule: ribosomal RNA, 253 nt
Filed under: uncultured bacterium
Lineage: Bacteria
Description: partial 16S ribosomal RNA
Rfam family: Bacterial small subunit ribosomal RNA
Source: RNAcentral